RNAcentral lists this ribosomal RNA (253 nucleotides) under uncultured bacterium. Its description in RNAcentral is "partial 16S ribosomal RNA". It matches the Rfam family "Bacterial small subunit ribosomal RNA", at positions 524 to 776 of the family's 1533-position model. The record is from RNAcentral.
UACGGAGGGGGCUAGCGUUGUUCGGAAUUACUGGGCGUAAAGCGCGCGUAGGCGGACUGGCAAGUCGGGGGUGAAAUGCCGAGGCUCAACCUCGGAACUGCCUUCGAUACUGCCAGUCUUGAGGUCGGGAGAGGUGAGUGGAACUCCGAGUGUAGAGGUGAAAUGCGUAGAUAUCGGAAGGAACACCUGUGGCGAAAGCGGCUCACUGGACCAUAACUGACGCUGAGGCACGAAAGCUAGGGGAGCAAACAGG